Molecule: ribosomal RNA, 468 nt
Filed under: uncultured bacterium
Lineage: Bacteria
Description: partial 16S ribosomal RNA
Rfam family: Bacterial small subunit ribosomal RNA
Source: RNAcentral
GACGAACGCUGGCGGCGUGCUUAACACAUGCAAGUCGAACGGAAAGGCCCUGCUUUUGUGGGGUGCUCGAGUGGCGAACGGGUGAGUAACACGUGAGUAACCUGCCCUUGACUUUGGGAUAACUUCAGGAAACUGGGGCUAAUACCGGAUAGGAGCUCCUGCUGCAUGGUGGGGGUUGGAAAGUUUCGGCGGUUGGGGAUGGACUCGCGGCUUAUCAGCUUGUUGGUGGGGUAGUGGCUUACCAAGGCUUUGACGGGUAGCCGGCCUGAGAGGGUGACCGGCCACAUUGGGACUGAGAGACGCCCCAGACUCGUACGGGAGGCAGCAGUGGGGAAUAUUGCACAAUGGGCGGAAGCCUGAUGCAGCAACGCCGCGUGCGGGAUGACGGCCUUCGGGUUGUAAACCGCUUUCGCCUGUGACGAAGCGUGAGUGACGGUAAUGGGUAAAGAAGCACCGGCUAACUACGUG